GAGGAAAGUCCAUGCUCGCACAAUCUGAGAUGAUUGUAGUGUUCGUGCCUAGCGAAGUCAUAAGCUAGGGUAGUUUGGUUACGACUGGACUAACGGCAGGGAACACACCUAAGUUUACAAUUGUAAAUAUGGUGUAAAUACCUUGAAAGUGCCACAGUGACGGAGUCUUUAUAGAAAUAUAAAGAGUGGAACGGGGUAAACCCCACGAGCGAGAAACCCAAAAUUAGGUAGGGG
RNAcentral lists this RNase P RNA (234 nucleotides) under Evansella cellulosilytica DSM 2522. RNAcentral's name for it is "Bacillus cellulosilyticus DSM 2522 RNA component of RNaseP". It matches the Rfam family "Bacterial RNase P class B", at positions 35 to 256 of the family's 365-position model. From Rfam's summary of the family: Ribonuclease P (RNase P) is a ubiquitous endoribonuclease, found in archaea, bacteria and eukarya as well as chloroplasts and mitochondria. Lineage: Bacteria; Bacillati; Bacillota; Bacilli; Caryophanales; Bacillaceae. The record is from RNAcentral.